RNAcentral lists this long non-coding RNA (2654 nucleotides) under Homo sapiens (human). RNAcentral's name for it is "HSALNT0145979". The stretch from base 1684 to 1831 matches the Rfam family "Metazoan signal recognition particle RNA". The record is from RNAcentral. Lineage: Eukaryota; Metazoa; Chordata; Mammalia; Primates; Hominidae.
CAGCCGUCCACCUGUGGCUGUCCUACAACAAAACCACUUCCAGGAAAAGGAAAGGGGUACGUGACAGGCCGAAGAAGUCAGGCUACAAACCGGAUGACAACCGGGUUACAUAAUUAGCAGAAGGGAGGAGCUUCAAAUCCUGGCACUCUAACACAGAGAUUGUUCACUUAAGACUACACAGUACUACUUAUGAAAAAAAACUGGCAGAAGGUAAGACAAAUGAUCAACUUCCUUUUGGUGCCCUCUCCAGGUUAGUGAACCAAAUAGGUUCUAGGUUAGAAUCAUCACCAUAAAAGUAGGGGCUAACAUCAGUGACGUCUAAAAUUUCUUUUGGAUCUAUUCUACAACACUACGGAUUUUUGGACAUGAUUUUUUUUUGCUACCUCUAAAGCAGUGAGACCCUCUGGAAUUUCUGUGUAAGAGAGUUUUAGAAGUGGCAACCUGUUUGUUAGAUAAAAUUAGGAAACUUGAAACUACAGUUACAUGGCCAGCAUGCUGUAUUUGGCUUAUAUGCUUAUUCAGAGCAGAUUUUAGAGGCUGGGGGUUAACAGAAAUUGCUAUAAUGCCUCUCCCAGAAGCUACCCCUUGGUGUCUCCAGAUAUGAGUCAUUGUUUCAGAGGUGUGGGAAAAGAAGAAACUCCUGCUUUCGGCAAACCUGUAUUGGGUUUGGUCUGAUAUUGAAGAAUUUUGCCCUUCCUAAAUUGUGGAGGUCAUCUCACCCUCCAGCUAAGCCAAGCAGAGGGUGACAAUGAAUCCAUACAUGACAAAGAAAGUACUCAUGCUUCAGGCCUCUAUCUAAGUCAUUUAGCUAAAUGCUUUUCCACUGGAAUAAGAUUUUGGACUUUAUUUUAAUCAGCAGGUUUUUCCUUUGAGAGGAGUUUCAAAUCUCCCUCUUAGGAAGGUCAUGCUUCCUUUGCCUUGCUAGGCCUCGGGAUAGAAAAUAGGAUUCUCUGGAAAAAGCUAUCACUUAGUAAAUAAUUGAUUGGCGAUUGCUUUGGAUUUGAUUCGCUAAGCUGAGAACCUUCGACACAAACUGUGGAGGGUUCAAGAAUGAAUGCAAAGUAUGUGUGGUUUUUACAAUUUGGUGGUCUAAGCAAGGUAGAGGAUGUCUAGCAGGGCAACAGUGUUCCUUAACCUUGUUUUCUUUGGUUUAAUGUUCACAAGUCAUAGAAUAUACAAAUAGAACAGUCACUAAAUGCUUUUUUCCUUUGAACAAAUAGUUUCAGUUCCUACAGAUACCACCAUUGUACUCCAGUGGCUUAAAAUAGCACUGUGGUCACAAUGUCAGUCCCUAGUAGACCUUCCAGUUUUUCUAGCUAGCAUUUCCCUAAUACCUGUGAUAAUGCGUCUCCCAUAAGCUAACAAAUUAGUUCAGGUGGAGGAAUGGGGCAGGGAGACAGCUGGCUUCAUGCGAAAAAGAAAAUGCUUUCUAGUCCUAUCCGGAUGCAACAAUAUAGAGGAAAUUACAAAGGGGUGUCUAGUUCCUGUGUGGGGCAGGAGGAACACACUUAGAAAAUGUAGGAACUGUCAAAGCAAGGACUCUCUCUUAGCUGGGUGAGGUGGCUUAUGCCUGUAAUCCCAGCAUUUGGGAGGCCAAGGCAGGGGGAUUGCUUGAGCCUAGGAGUUUGAGACCAGCCUACACAACAUGGAAAAACCCUGUUUCCACUAAAAAUACAAAAUUUAGCUGGGCAUGUUGGUGCAUGCCUGUAGUCCCAGCUACUCAGGAAGCUGAGGCAGGGGGAUUGCUUAAGCUUAGGAGGUCAAGGCUGCAGUGAGCCGGGAUUGUGCCACUGCACUCCAGCCUGGGUGACAGAGCAAGACCCUGUCUCAAAGCAAACAAACAAACCCUCCCUAUCUUCAGAUAUGUGCCCAGUGCUGGGAAUGGAAAAAUGAUAAGACUCAGUGCUGUUCUAAUAGAGUAAAUAAUACUUCAUAAGGUUAAAGAGGAAGUGGGUGAUGCUAAGAAACUAGAGAUGUAAACUACUGUUUCCCAAAAGAUUAAUGGUGAAGAGAAAGGUAGCUCCAGGUGAGUGCAAUGUUGAGUGAAGAAUUAAUUUAUAGUGUGUGUCUGAGGGUAAGGGUGCUUGAGCAUAUUAGUAAAUGAUAGAGCCAUGUUGAGGAUGAGGAGAAACCGACAGUGUCUUUCAAGGUACUUCUCCCAUAGUAUCAGUACAUGUGUUUGCACGUUGAUUUAUUGGUUUAUCCCAUUCUCCUUACUAUGCACUAGGCCAGUGCUAGACUCUGGAACAAAAUGAUGUCCCCUGACAACACACACAAAAAAUUCACUCUCCACUCUUUCUUCUUCCCUGAACUCCUUCCCCAGAAACCACUUCCAGGUGUGCUUCUGCCUCAUGCUCAGGGCCACUCAAAGCCAAGUCUUUCCAACUUUAUCACUUCCUUUGUUUUGAAGAAGGGUCAGAGGAAGUGCUUUUACCAUGUGUUUUGUUUCUUGUGCAAAGCCCACAGGACCUGAUGGUUUGGCGCCCCCCAGGGGUACCCAAUGGGCCUCUUUCCUGCUCACUAACAGAUAAGGGGAACUGAGGGGCCCACGGAGGCCAGCCUGAAUGAUAAACUUUAUGUACCCUAAAUUUUCUAAUAUUUAGGGGUCAGGGGAAGGGGAGACUGCAGUCCCUGGAAGCUUUCUUUAGUGUAAC